GUCUGUGGCCAUGCCACCCUGAACAAGCCCGAUGUCUGAUCUCGGAAGCUAAGCAGGGUCGGGACUGGUUAGUACUUGGAUGGGAGACCACCUAGGAAGACCAGGUGCUGUAGGCG
This 116-nucleotide ribosomal RNA is filed under the name Pteropus alecto (black flying fox). Lineage: Eukaryota; Metazoa; Chordata; Mammalia; Chiroptera; Pteropodidae. The record is from RNAcentral.